Amblyraja radiata (thorny skate) is the source of this 118-nucleotide long non-coding RNA. RefSeq lists it as uncharacterized. The record is from RefSeq and is a predicted model, not a curated record. The transcript has 3 exons. Lineage: Eukaryota; Metazoa; Chordata; Chondrichthyes; Rajiformes; Rajidae.
AUAAAGGCAUAGACUAUUUUCUAAAUGGGGAGAAUCCAGAAAUUGGAGGUGCAAAGGGGCUUGGGAACACUGGUGCAGGUUUCCCAAAAACUUAAUCUGCAAGUAGGAAUCAAACACA